GGCUGCGCAGCUACCAUGCAGUCGAGCGGUAACAUUUCUAGCUUGCUAAAAUAUGACGAGCGGCGGACGGGUGAGUAAUGCUUGUGAACUGCCUUGAGGUGGGGGACAACACUUGUAAACGACUGCUAAUACCGCAUAAUGUCUACGGACCAAAGGGGGCUUCGGCUCUCGCCUUUUUAUUGGCCCAAGUGGGAUUAUCUAUUUGGUGAGGUAAUGGCUCACCAAGGCGACAAUCCCUAUCUGGUUUGAGAGGAUGAUCACCCACACUGGGACUGAGACACGGCCCACACUCCUACAGGAGGCACCACUGGGGAAUAUUGCACAAUGGGCGCAAGCCUGAUGCACCCAUGCCGCGUGUGUGAAAAAAGCCUUCUGGUUGUAAAGCACUUUCUCUCACGAGGAAAGGUUAUUAGUUAAUACCUGCUAUCUGUGACGUUACUGACACAAAAAACACCGGCUAACUCCCUGCCACCACCCGCGGUAAUACAGAGGGUGCGAGCGUUAAUCGCAAUUACUGGGCGUAAAGCGUACACACGCGGUUUGUUAAACGAGAUGUGAAAGCCCCGGGCUCAACCUGGGAACUGCAUUUCUAACUGGGAAACUAUAGUGUGAUAUAGGGUGGUAGAAUUUCACGUGUAUCGCUGAAAUGCGUAUAGAUCUGAAAGAAUACCGAUGGCGAAAGCAGCCACCUGUGUCAACACUGACGCUCAUGUACGAAAGCGUGUGGAGCAAACAGGAUUAUAUACCCUGGUAGUCCACGCCGUAUACGAUGUCUACUAUAAGCUCUGAAACUCUGUUCUGUUUUUCAAAGCUAACACAUUAUAUAGACCGCCUGGGGAGUACAGCCGCAAAGUUAAAACUCACAUGAAUUGUCGGGGGGCCCGCACAAGCGGUGGAGCAUGUGUUUUAAUUCUAUGCGACGCGAGAAACCUCACCUACACUUGUCAUACACAGAACUUACUAGAGAUAGUUUGGUGUCCUUCUGGAACUCUGAUACACGUGCUGCAUGGCUGUCGUCAGCUCGUGUUGUGAGAUGAUGUGUAAAUCCCGCACGAGCGCAACCCCUAUACCUUAGAUUGCUAGUCACGUGAUAGCUGUAGAACUCUUAAGAGACUGCUCGGUGAUAUAACACGCGAGAAAGUGGGACGAACGAUCAGGUCACUCAUGGCCCUUACAUUGUAAGGCUACUACACACACGGCUCAAUGGCAAUCAGAGAGUCGUGCGAACUCCGGAGGAGUAACGCAACUCCUUCUAUAUAAAGUGG
Molecule: ribosomal RNA, 1265 nt
Filed under: Pseudoalteromonas tetraodonis
Lineage: Bacteria; Pseudomonadati; Pseudomonadota; Gammaproteobacteria; Alteromonadales; Pseudoalteromonadaceae
Description: bacterial SSU rRNA
Rfam family: Bacterial small subunit ribosomal RNA
Source: RNAcentral